Butyrivibrio sp. CAG:318 is the source of this 74-nucleotide transfer RNA. It matches the Rfam family "tRNA". Rfam says of the family: Transfer RNA (tRNA) molecules are approximately 80 nucleotides in length. Lineage: Bacteria; Bacillati; Bacillota; Clostridia; Lachnospirales; Lachnospiraceae. The record is from Rfam.
GCGCUAGUAGCUCAGCUGGAUAGAGCGCACGGCUACGGACCGUGGUGUCGGGGGUUCGAAUCCUCUCUGGCGCG